This 158-nucleotide small RNA is filed under the name Limimaricola soesokkakensis. RNAcentral's name for it is "6S RNA". It matches the Rfam family "6S / SsrS RNA". From Rfam's summary of the family: E. coli 6S RNA was the first non coding RNA to be sequenced, but its function was unknown until recently. It consists of 184 nucleotides that fold into an extended hairpin structure with a large single-stranded internal bulge. The 6S RNA specifically associates with RNA polymerase holoenzyme containing the sigma70 specificity factor. Lineage: Bacteria; Pseudomonadati; Pseudomonadota; Alphaproteobacteria; Rhodobacterales; Paracoccaceae. RNAcentral also lists the same sequence under 1 other name. The record is from RNAcentral.
CGGGUUCUGCUCUUCUCGUGCCAAGGGGUCAAAUUCCAGAGGCCUUAAGCAAUUCCACGGGAGCUGGCUCUGUUCGGACCCUGGUUCGAUUACCUGGCGCCCACCUGUAUACACAGGUCCCCGGGAAUUCUCACCCCUACGGUCGCUGCGGUUCCCGC